GCUAAGAUUGAUGUGGUGUCGUUUCAAACAAAAAUAUAAAGAUUGAGGUGGUGGAACCCGCACAGAAGUUGAAGGAGGACGCGAUUAAGGCUAGGUUCUUGAUGUGGCGAACAGUGACGCAAUCGAAAACUUCUCUUUUGGAGGGGGGAGGGGCCAAUUGUUUAAUUUUUUUACAAUAAAUAUUUAUUAUAAAAUUCAAAUACAAACAAAUAUUGAAUAACAGAAAAGAAAAGAAAAACUUUUUUUUUCUCUUCAUUUUCGAAGCCAUAUAUCAAGCAUGCAUCAAGGUAAUUAUUAUAAUUUUCUUUUUGCAAGAAUGAUUAGUAGGGAUGGAUUCAGUACUAAACCGAUUCAUUUUUGUUCAAACCGUUGCCGAACCGACCUCCGUCGGUAUCAGUUUUUUCAAACUGCUACCGAUCCGACAUAAUCGGUAUACCGAUUGUCGGCAAGUAUCCUUCGGUUUUGGGUGGAUUUGCUGGCGGAGAUUCAUUGAUGUUGGAGAUGAGGAUGAUCUGAUGAUGGAAUAUGUUGUAAUUAGAAGAUCUGAUGAUGGAAUUUAUUGUAACUAGAUGGCCUGAUGAUGAUCUGUGUUAAUUUGAUGGGAUUGGGGAGGAAGAAAAAAGAUGAGAAGAAGAAUAGAUGAAGCAGAACUAAAUGCAGAAGAAGAAGAAGAAAGGUUGAAGACCAAAAGUGACGAACGAGAGAGAGAGAGAGAGAGAGAGAUUUUGUUUUGUGUUUAAUCUAUCACCUAAGAAGGUAUAAAUAUAAAGUUUAUACGUAUUAUAUUGAGGGUAGCUCGUACUCCAGUGGUAGGGAGUUGAGCUGUUGUGAAAGAGGUGGGGGGUUUGAACCUUACCUCUUCCAAGGUUUUAUAUAUUUUGUUUAAUUAUUCGGUAUGAGGUAUUGUGUACUGUAUACCGACGGUAUGCAAUAUCUCAUACUGUAGCUAAGCCGAAGACGAGCCAUCGGUACGGCUCAGCCGAGCUGAAUUGUCGAUAAGCCAAGAUUUCGGCCAAACAUUUAAAUUAUGAAAAACGUACAAGUCAACCAAUAACAUCAUAGCAUUUUUGAAAAUAAUUGGAGGGGGUCAGGGCCCACUCUGCUUAAUGUAGUUUUCCAAAUUGUUGACCAUCGACCAUAAGGACUUGAGAUUUUUAUUUGACCAUAAGGACUUGAAUUUUUUAAUUUUAUUUUUUAUUUUACAGAUGGCUAGAGUCAAUUUAAAUUAUACCGAACUCUUGCUAACCCUGCGAUUUUCCCCUUCAGUUUAUCAAUUCUCUUUUGGAUAGAUUAUGUGUUUAGAUGGGUGAUUCGAUGGAUGAGACUAGGUCCGAAGUGCUCUUGAGCGUUAGUUUUACAUCCGUAUUUCCAACCCAAAUCCUUAUAAACACCUCUGUAAACACAGAGAGAAUGGGAGAACCAAAUUCAUAUAAAUAGAAAGAGAAACAAAAUUCGCAGGGAUCGAGCAAUCUAGCCCACCAUGACAAAGUGAGGAGUAUGCUAUAGUUUAAUAGUCAGAUGGAGGCACACCAACACCAACACCCAAUCGUCUCAGGUUUUCCGAAGCAAGGAAAGAAAUAAGAGAAAAAUGAAGGAGAUAUGUGCUAAUGAUGGAGAAUUGUGGACUCUUGAUGAAUCAAGGAAGCUUAAGGCAACAAGAAGAAAAAGAUAUUCAACAAUUAAUUCUCUUAGCUGCUCCUAUUGGAUAGAAUGAUGUCAAUGAAUCCUAAAUCAAUCAGAACAUUAACCAAGGAGCUUUCCGUUGAAGCCAAGGAGUUAGAGUCCCAAAAGGAAAGAAGAAAAGUGUUACAAACUGAAUAAAAUCUCUCCUUGGACGUUCAAGAAACCUACCAUCUCACAUACGAAGAAGCAGAGACGCACCAGAGCUCAAGAAGAAGCAAGACUGCAAAACCACACUCUAGAAACGAUCGAUCGCUGCUUUCCAGAGAUCGAUCACUGAUCCGUAUUUCCCAAUUUUCUGAUUUUUGUUGUCUUCUUUUCCCAUGAACUCCUUUGUGUUCUUGACUCCCAUUAUGUGUAACUAAAUUUCCGGUAGUUAGGGGGCAGUUGA
Long non-coding RNA from Rosa rugosa (rugosa rose), 2071 nucleotides. RefSeq lists it as uncharacterized. The record is from RefSeq and is a predicted model, not a curated record. Lineage: Eukaryota; Viridiplantae; Streptophyta; Magnoliopsida; Rosales; Rosaceae. The transcript is spliced from 3 exons.